GCAGAGGGCCGGAUGGCCGCGUUGGAGGGGCAACCCUCCCGCGAGGAAAGUCCGGACUCCCUAAAGCAACGGUGCCGGGUAACGCCCGGGCAGGGAAACCUGACGGAAAGCGCCACAGAAAACAGACCGCCCUGUCGAACCAGAGGUUCGCCGAAAGUUCAUUUGACAGGGUAAGGGUGAAACGGUGGAGUAAGAGCCCACCGCGCCCCUGGCAACAGGGGCGGCACGGCAAGCCCCACCGGGAGCAAUGCCAAAUAGGACCCCCGCGCGGGCCGGUCGGGCAACCGAUACCGCCGCUAGGUAUGCUUUAACCGAGAGGGGUCGGGUUGGCAGCUAGAGGCGCCUGGCAACAGGCGCCCCAGAUGAAUGGUCAUCGAACCUUGGCCUUCGGGGCAGGGGGAACAAGAUCCGGCUUAUAGGCCCUCUGCGCAA
This 432-nucleotide RNase P RNA is filed under the name Tritonibacter multivorans. Its description in RNAcentral is "Tropicibacter sp. CECT 7557 Bacterial RNase P class A". It matches the Rfam family "Bacterial RNase P class A". Rfam says of the family: Ribonuclease P (RNase P) is a ubiquitous endoribonuclease, found in archaea, bacteria and eukarya as well as chloroplasts and mitochondria. Its best characterised activity is the generation of mature 5'-ends of tRNAs by cleaving the 5'-leader elements of precursor-tRNAs. Cellular RNase Ps are ribonucleoproteins. Lineage: Bacteria; Pseudomonadati; Pseudomonadota; Alphaproteobacteria; Rhodobacterales; Paracoccaceae. The record is from Rfam by way of RNAcentral.